Molecule: long non-coding RNA, 15201 nt
Filed under: Marmota monax (woodchuck)
Lineage: Eukaryota; Metazoa; Chordata; Mammalia; Rodentia; Sciuridae
Source: RNAcentral
CACCUACCCUCCAGCUGUUUCUCAUGUCUAGACACCGGUCACAUGGAGUGGCUGCCCAGGUCACUGUGAGAGAAACCAAAUGGGGAAAUUCACAGGCCCAUUCCAAGCCCUGACUCCCCCGCCCCCUGGUUACCCAGCCUCACUUCCGUUUCCCAAACAAGGCAGGCUUUGCAAGAUGCUACCUUGAUUUUCCACUCUUUCAACAAGAGGCGACUUUAAAAGACAGCCGAAGAGCUUAACCUGGGUGAGGCCCACGGCGUGGAAACAUCCGAUGAGCCCAUGACACACAUGUGCAAGGUGAGCACCACACGUGUGCGAUGGGAAGUGGUUUUUCAGAUCUCCUCAGGAGCUGCCUCCUCGACAGCUUUGUUCUUCAUAAGGUAUUAACCUGCUUUUACUCCUCAGCUUCAGUUCUCUAGCCUGAGACCUGCUAACCCAAAUUGCUCUUUGUCUUCCAAUAUUAGAAGAGAUGACACUGUGAUUAUGUGCCAGUACCAUGACAUACUAAAUGGGGAUCAUCAUAUUCUCAGAGGAGGGUGGCAGGUUAUUGUCUCAUUCUGGCACAUCUGACAAGCGAGAGCUAAUGCUGGUGGUAAAGUGUGGAGGGAAGCCAGGACACACCACCUGCCUCCCAAGGCCUGGCAGCUCGGUGCUCUCUGUGCCUGGGCACGAGCUAAGGCCCACAGGCCUUUGUUUAUGAAAUUACAUUACCUUGCUGCUGUACUGAAAAGACUCUGCUUUCCACAAUCUGGAAGCAUAGCCCUCGAGGUGUGAACUGCUAAGGCUCUUUUAUUGACUCACAUACAUACACUUCUAGAAACUUUUUAGUAAUACUAAUUAGUAUUUAUUUCAGGUAUUUAUUUUCUGUUUUUUAUUUCUUUUCACAUAUUAGAUAUCAAUCAGGGAUUAUUUCAUGAACAAUUUUAUUUCCUCUGCAUAACACUUCUAUAUUGGUAGAGUGUUUUUAGAUAAGAAAACAGGAAUACAGAAUGUUUUUUACUUACUGUUAUUCCUAUUUGUACGAGAGUUAGAAUUUAUCAAUGUUUGUGGUCAUUGUGAAAACUAAGAACAACAACAAGAUGUCUUUAAGGAAUUCACAAGCUCUUGAGUGAUAUACCCAGAUAGGUAGAUAAAUAAAUAGAUAAAAGGACUUUUAUAGGACUUUUAAAUUUAGCUUUUCAUAACAAAAAAUACAAAAGUAUAGCAGUGUAGCCUCACAUUAAAUACACACACGUAUAUACAUGUAGUGAAAUGAUCUUUUUAAAAGUGUGUAAGCAAGCUCAAAAGAGAGAUAAAUCUCCACAUAUCCAAAAUUAAGACUGAAUUCAAGUUGGUCAUGAACUGAGAUUGCAGCAAUAAGGCAUGGAGCUGGGUGUGGGGGCCAGCUCUCUUGAUGGCUGAGGUUUGAAUGACCUUUUGGGAUCCGGGAGGUCAACUCUUGAGCCCGAGCACAGUGCAGAGGUGGAACUUAUGGGAUCCUACAGAGAUACUACUUAUAUGAAAAGGGUGAUGAAGAAAGUCCAAAUACUGAUAUAAAAACUUGUCCUCUCCCCAGACUCCUGAAAGGAUGGGAAAUGUCUCCUGAGAAAUCGAAACUCAAGGUGAUACUACUUCAGGUGAUGGGUCUGGAUUGAAUCUCAAGCAGAAUUAUUGAUAUAAAAAGUAGUUCUAGAUAUAAAAAACAAGUAGUUAUCACCAAGAAAAAAAAUAAAAUGUUUCUAAUUCAGCCUGACUGAUCCCAACAGCGACAGAAACAAUCUCCACUAAAGAUGAGCUCACAAUCACAAAUUACAAACCAGUGUGCCGUGAAGACAAGCCAGCGGCCACCACUUAGGGGGAUGGUGUCCCAAGAACUCAAUGUAACAGAACAAUACGAGAAGGGUUUUUAAAAAAAUAUUCAAAUUUAUUAAAGAGAAAUGAAAAGGAAUUAUAACCCAAAGCUCUGGAGCUUUUUAUAAAAACAAAGAUUAACCAAGAGAAUUUCUCAAGAGUGAAAAAUAAGUAACUGUGAAAGGGAAAAAGUUCCCAAUAAAUUAGAUGAAGAAAGAAUUUGUGAACAUAGAUCUGGAGGAAUUGUACAGAAUGUGGUUCAAUAAAAUGAAGACCCAGAAAAUACAAAAGAAAGGUUAAAAGGUAUGCAGGAUAGAGAAAAUUAUAUAUAUAUACACACAUAUAUAUACAUAUAUACAAAUAUAUAUACAUAUAUGUAUAUAUAUAUAUAAAGUUAUCCAGAGAAGAGAUCAGAGAGAAUGGGAGGAAAGCAACAUUUUAAAAAAAUCAUGGCUCAGAGGUGAGGCUGUAGGUCAGUGGUAGAGCUCCUGCUUCUCAUGUGUGAGGCACUGGGUUCGAUCCUCAGCACCACAUAAAAAUAAAUAAAGAUAUUAUAUCCAUCUACAACUAAAAAAAAAUGUUUAAAGAAAAGAUCAUAGCUUAGAAGUUCCCCAAGUAGAAGAAAUAUAUAAUUUUUCAGAAUAAAUAGCGCACACUGAAUUCUAUAGAUAAUAAAACAAAUAAACCAACACAACUUCAAUUUGACACAUAAUGAAGAAAUAAAUACAGAACACAAAACACAAAGAAAUGAUUGUAGGUGCAGGCAGCGGAGGAGACAUCACCUACCAUGACCCGGCAAUGGAUGGACGCUGGCAGCGGAGUCUGGAAAUUAGUGAGAUGAUAUUUGCAAAAUGCUGAAAGAUGAACCAGAAGAAUGCAAGAGGAACGAGGCACAGAUAAACAAGGAAGCACACACAGGAAUCUAAAUCAGGCCUGCUACAGAAAGAAUCAAGAUGAUGACGAAGGUGUUACAGCCAGGUGGAAUCCAAAGGCUCGGAGACAGGUGACCAGGUGUGAGAGCCUGCUGACAUGGUGUCCUUUGCGGGGAUCCGUAAUGUUGGCCCCUGAAGCCUAAGUGAGUCUAAAGAACAGAACAUAGACAUUGCAGCUGCUGAAUCAGGAAAGGAGCGUGAAUCAAGGAACCUGGUCAACUUGAAAGAAGAUGGGGAAAGAGGGAGAAAAUCGAAAGAAAGCAAGUUAGAACACUCACGAUAAUAAGUGGAAAACCAAGCCCAGAGUGAGACUCAUUUUAACCUGAAGAAUUAGCACCUGGUAAAUUAUCAGGAAUGAAAGGAAGAGUCAAUAAACAGCACUAGAACACCCGGCCAUUUGAACUCAACAAUUAAGUAGAUAAAUAGAGUCUUUAUCUCACAUGAUCCACACCAGUUCCAGGUGAGUGGAGAAACUAGAAGUGAAGAGCAAAAAUCUAAAACCUGUAGAUUAAAAAUAUAAAAGGUUAUUUUCACUACCUUGGGAUAGAAAAGCUAGGAAAGCAGCUUCUCAAUAAGGUAUAAAAAAAUUCCAAACUGCAAAGGGAAACAGUGCUGCCUUUAAAUACCUUGAAAUUCAUACAUCUGCAUGGAGAAUCCAGCAACAGGAAAGUGGACUGACACAGACUGGGAGGGAUUAUUAACAAGAAGCAAGAGAGUAAAAGCUGGUGUGUGAAAUAUACGGGGGUUGGGGGAGGCGAUGACCUAAGUAUGGCAUAGUCGAAUUAUUUAAAUGGACACUUUUUUGAAAAAAAGGAUAGGAAUGGCUCAUGAACAAUAAGAUUCCAUUUCAUGUCUUUCAAUAUUAACAUUAAUUAAACAAAACAAAACAACACAAAAAACAAGUGUUAGGGAGAAAGUGGCGAAAUGGCAGCCUUCAUUUGCUGUUGGUAGAAGUUUAGACAGAAACCCAGUUUGUGCAGCAAUUGUGCAGUGAUCAUAAAUCUGAAGAGGGUCACAAGAUGCCAAUGCAUGACCCCUCUCAGGCAGACCUUCUGCUUUAGGAAAGUUGAUCUGGGUCUAGAGGUGGGGGCCAUGGCUCCAUACUGGACAUCCAUUCUUCUGCUCACAGACAGCUACAGGUCUUGCAGGAGUCUAAUUAGAAACCAGGACUUCUAUUUUUUUAAAAAAUAUUUGUAGUUGUAGAUAGAGUACCUUUAUUUUGUAUAUUUAUUUUUAUGUGGUGCUGAGGAUGGAACCCAGUGCCUCACAGGUGCUAGGUGAGUGCUCUGCCCCUGAGCCCCAGCCCAGUCCCCAGAACUUCUAUUUGAUACACUCCUUCUUGCUGUAUAAAAUAGGAAGUUUGGGUCCUCAGCAGCCAAGGACAGUCGUUUUGGGACCAGGAGAGAAAGAGCUUUUCAAUAAUCGAUUUGAUGUUCAGCAAUUAAAAAGCUUAGAAAUGGAAAAAGAAUGAUUCUUGAUCCUCUCAUGACACUAGAUGGAAGCUUUUCCUAAAAUCAGUUAUCCCUGGACUUAUCAGUGAUAUAAAUCAAAAACAAACAAAAACGAAUAUAAAAACAAAAUCCCCUCCCUGGUGUUAUUUAAAUCACUGAGCUUUUUUUUCUUUUCUUUUCUUUUCUGUAACUGGACUCAAUAACAUCCUGAGAAGAGCAGGAUUUAACAAGGGACAGGGGACCACGUGGAUGUCAUUUGUACACACGUUGUGCUUUGUUUUGGUGUGCUCCUCCGUGCUAUCCUAUGCUUCUCAAACGUACCUAUUUCCACACUUGCUACUUCUUUCUUUUGGGGUGACACAUCUAUUGGUUGCCAUGGGGCCCAUGGAGCCCAGCCCAGAGCCACGCACAGGGUAGGUGGUGGAUGUUGAGGGGAAGGCAUGGCUGACCACAACCAACACUUGGCAGGAUCCACACCAAAGCAGAACUACUCGAGAUUCAUGGUCCACCCUUCAAGAGGCAGACUCCGGGAGAUGGCCAUGUAAAUUAACAGAAGAGGAGCCAUGGCUUAGCAAUAGCAUAGGAAACGUGAGUGAGAAUUCUUUUGCACUCUUACUUGUUCAAUAGGAAGUGGAUAUUUGAACUUCUAUGUAUGUGACUCACUGUCUAUAGGCUAGGUACUAUACUAAAGACUGAUGGAGCGUUCAGUUCUCUCAACAUCUCUUCAGGUAUUUUGAUAGAUCCAUGCUCAUUUUAUUAAAUAGUCAUAGUUCCACGAAUGAAUAUAUCCAAAGUCGAUGUUCUUUGUAUUCUUUUUACCCAUCAUGUUACUUCCCGUGAGCCUUGGCUGAGAGCCUUUCAUGAGUCACCAAAGCUGAUAGCAAUGGCUGGAGUGACGAGAAGAGUCCUGGCAGAUGGUGUCCCAUUGAUAUGGAACAAUUUUUCAUAGUUUGAUGUGCAGGAUACUUUACAGUCCCACUUGAUACUCCUCCAAAAUUUUAAUCAUGUGGAGAAUGAUAAAUACCACCCAGGUGGACGCAAGGAGUCUCCUGACUUGACAAAACAAAAAGCAAAACGUUCUGGAAGAUGAUAUGAAUGGACAAGAUGAAGGCAGAAACACGAAGGAAAAUGUAAGAGAGUCAAUGAUAGGUCCAGUCAGUUUAACUCCCCGGGAAGGCACAGGGGCGGAGCUAGUGACAGCCCGGGAAGAAGCUGUUUCUACCACCAGCUCCUUGAGAACCUAUCCGCAGGCUUGGCAACCGGAACGAGGAAGGGACAAAUGCAGUCCAGAGACUUGGAAGGAAUGCUCCAGUGACCAGCAUGGCCACAGGCAACGGAGUUAAGGACGGGGAAUGUGGGUGGUGGAGCCGGAAAGCUGAAUUCUUACCCUAUCUCCAAUCUGUAAAAUGGGGCCGAUCAUGGGACUUGCAUCACAGGGUAGCAUGCAACAAGCAGCGCCUGGAACAGAGUCCAUGUCUGAUAAAUGUCAACCACUGUUGUUGUUGUUCAGGGGUCUCCCCAAGAGGAUACAUCCGCGAGGGUGCAGCAAUUUCAUCACAAGUGAUUAGGGAAGGAAUGUUAAAAACAGGAAGAACUUGGGAGAUGGCAGGCUUCGGGCGAGGAGGACCUGCUUGCUUUGGGGUAUGAUGAGUUUAGCGUAAGUUGAUCCUACUGUGCGCUGAGCUCUGUGCCAGACUCGGGAUGCUUGAAGGGAACUUGGAGCAUGUGGCUUUCAGAGUCCUCUAGCUCAGAAACAAUGGGACUGAAGGGCCGACAGCACUGGCUUUGAAGACACACUGUUUGCUUUGGGGCCCCUGUUUUACUAUUUAAUUGCAAUCAAUUUUUGUCUCCAAUCUUCUACAUUGUAAAAAACAGUGGUAGUAUUGGUGGUAAAACCAACCAGUUGGGUUCUUAAGAGAUUCAAAGACAAAAAUUUUAAAGUACCUAUCAUGAUAUCUGGCACGUGUUAAACUAUUUGUAGGAGUGACAGUCAGAGUGGUGUGGAUAUAAGUAAGUCACCACAGCAAUAAUAUCAACAACUGAGUUACUGCCUGUGGCCAGGUGAGAGGCUCAGGUUACAGAGCAAAUGUCAGGGAGUUAGCAUGGAACCCGGUUAACCAUGCAACUGUGAUCUUAGUCCAUGGGGAGAGGCGUCGAUGGCAGAGGACUGUGAUGCAGAGGAGGUGGAAAAGGAGCCAGCCAUGAGAGAGAACUGGCCAACAGACAGAUGGACACAGACAGUGCCUGCGAACAGACGGAAGAGGAACUCAACAGCGUCUGCUGUUACUGAGAAGCCAAAGAAACGGAGACCCAAGGAAAGAUCUGGUCUAAGAGCAGUUGGGGGCCUUCUGUUAGGAACAGAGAUGAGAUGACAACCAGCGUGAGCUGGCAAUGAGUUGAAAGGAAAGUUAAAUGAAUUGGGAACCAAAUGUGGCACUCAGGCAGGAGAAUGACCAGAGCAAGAGGCGGUGUGGCUGUACCUGUGCAUUCAGACCUGCUUGGCACAACGUGGUAGCUGUGCCACUAGUUCUGUGACCACGAAAAGUGCUACCUGUCCAUUUUCUGCAUUAUGCUACACUCUCAGCCUCCCUUGCAGUUAGGAGUGGCCCUGAGACUGAACCAUAGUCAAGGGGAUGUGAGCUGAGAGAGGUGUAGCCCCUUCUGGCCUGGCCCAUAAAUUCCCAUGGACCAUUGUCCUCCUGCUCCUUCUCUAUCCCCAGCUGAAUGGAGGGCUCUGCGGACACAAAAGAGCGUGGCUCCACUGGCAAAGAAUGUCUGGGUCCUUUGAUGACUACCCAAGCUCCUCCCCCAACUGUCCUCAGACGAGGACUUGAGUGGUAAGUAAACUUUUAUUGUAUGAGGCCACUGAUAUUUUUAAGUUCUUUGGCACGAUGGUUAAUCUACCUUCAACUAAGAUGGCAGACGACUACUCAGAAGUUCUGCUUCUUCAUAUGUGAAACAGGACUGGUAACAGCUGCCCACCUGAGAGUUGCUCUUCCCAAUUUUUCCUUGUCAAUGGACCCCUAACCAUGGCAGGUCAACUGGCAUUUUUCUGCACUAAGGGAGUCCAGGUCCCUCCUCUGCCCCAGCCACGGAACACUGUGCACGCACAUGUAUGUGUGUGCUUUUGUGUGUGUGUGUGUGUGUGUGUGUUCACACACUCACCAAUUCAAGCCAGUAGUGGCAAUUUUCCCCUUGGCCUGUGAAUGGCUCAAAAUUGGGCAUGGGGUCAAUAAGACAUGAGGGAAGUCCUCUACGGGGCUUCUGGAAAACUUUCCUUAUAAUGAAAAAGGAAGUCAAAAAGGGAAAUUUGUUUCCAUUUUCUAAUUUUUCACAUUGUUGUAUGAAGAUACACCUGCAAGCACCUUUGCCUUUAAAGGCCAAGGCUGAUGGCAGACCCCAGGCUGCAGCCAAUCCUGGGCACAGCCUACCACCAGGAAGUCUACACUGUCCUUAGUAGGUGCCUGGAUUACCUAUAUCAAAAGUAUCCAAACCAGUUUGGCCUUAAUCAGUCAAGACGUAUGAACGGAAUGUCAUAUGGGUGAUCAAGAAGGGUCAUCAUUAUGACCAUGACGAUUAUCAUCUAAAUAUACACCUGCUGUCCCCAGCCCUAUAUGUCAGACCUCCUCAUUCCUGAUAAGUCUCUUUCUAGCCUCCGAUUCACUAUAUUUCAAGGGUUGGGUGAGAAAGGCACCCAGAGAAGUUUGCCUCUUUUGGAAACUGAGGCUUCAGAGGAGAUUUGAUUAUCGAUGGCAUCGGGGUGUGUCUUUUGGAGGAUGAGAUAUUUGUAGGGUAAAGUGAGACCUUGGGAGAACAGGUGUCCUAUACAAAUAAGGGGAUUAUGAGCUAGGAAAUGUUUAACCAGCACGCCCUCCUUAUCGCAAGUAAUUCAAGGCAAUAGAAUAGAAUAUUCCAGUCGGUGGCAAGCAGCAGGUGGGAAGUCAUGGGAUCCUUACGUUAUUUCUCUAAUUGAUAAACAGAGACACUUACAAAGCCUCCUGCCGCUCUGCUUCCUGUCUUCACUCAACUUGGUCAGAAAGAUGAAUGCCGCUUUAAGAGAGAUAAUGCCAAUACAAGACCAUCUCCUCUGUUUCCAUCCUUGGAGAGCCCAAUCAAGAGAAUCAAAUUGGAUUUGUGUGAUGGAGUCCUAGAUGAAAUGAGAGGCUAUUUUCUUGCCUUCCAGUGACAAUACAAAUGAUAAGAAUACCAAUAAUAGCAUCCAGGAGCAGAAGGGGAGCAGGAUCGAGAACAGGGUGUUUCUUUGCUGUCUCCCUCCUUAUCAGUUCUUUCAUGUAUAAUUUCCUUUCAAAAUGUGAUGUCACAACAAGCCAGCAGAGUAGCCUCUGAGAUCCACAUUAGCAGACAAGGGAAGAUGCUCGGGGAAGCCGAGUGACUUACCUGAGGUCACACUCAGAUCCCUGACUCCAAAUGCCCUGUGACUUUUUCUUACCCACCUCGUCUCACAUUUGCUUCCUUUUCUCUGGGAUGAGACUCUUGGGGUGGCUGAACUCAAGACUCAGAGAUGACAGUCCCCGUACCUGCUGAGGACCUGGCUGAGACCUAGCAAGGUGCCUCUGGAGGAGCCCUGGGUGGGAUAAGGACACCAUGCUAGUCAGGGGCUCCUUGGCUCAGGAUUCUGGCUAAACACUAUCUCCACUUUGUCAUCUAAACCUUGCUCAGCUUCUCUUAAAAAGAUUUUAUCUCAGAUUACAAUGAAAGUACAAAGAACUUUUCCCCCUCUUCUGUUUUGCCUCACACUGACGGACCCUUGUUUAAAACACAAGACCACAAACUACUGUGGAAAAUCCUCCUUCGCCAUCUGUGCUAUUUAUGUCAAUCUAAAAUGCAUGUUAUCCUAAUGUGCAUAAGUAGGUAGUGGUACCUGUGAAUGCCAUUUUACAUGUAUGGGCUGCAAGAGCUGAACGAGCCAUGGGGACUUCUCCGUCUUACAAAGCUAGGGUCCAGUCACAGCAGUCCUGCCAACUUUUACAAGUCCCCUUCCUUCCAGAACCCAGUCCUAUGGAGGUAGCAUGCAUGACCCACUCUGCCCCCAGCUCUUCUGGCCCAAUCCUUGAACAGAAGAUGAACCUGCUAGGAUUCUUCCUCAUGUGUGAACUAGACUUUUGACAUUUUCCUUAAGACGACUGCAGUUUCCUCAGUCAAGAACGUGAAGAGGGAGCCCAGAGAAUAAAAGGAAAUCUUGGCCACCUGCACCUCACAUAGAGCAUUAAUCUCCAAGACACACAAAGAACUCAAAAGAGUUACCACUAAACACAAAUAAAUAAAUAGCUCAAUGAAUAAAAUGAGUCAAGGAACUAAGCAGACACUUCCUAAAAGAAGAAAUACGAUCCAUCAACCAAUAUAUGGGGAAAAAUGUUCAACUUCACUGGCAAUUAGAGAAAUGCAAACGGAAACUACACAGACACUUCAUCUCACUCUAGUCAGAAUGGCAAUUAUGAAGAAUACAAGUAACAAUAAGUGUUGGUGAGGAUGUGGGGGAAAAGGCCCACUCAUACAUUGCUGGUGGGACUGCAAAUUGGUGCAAGCACUCUGGAAAGCAGUAUGGAGAUUUCUUUAAAAACUUGGAAUGGAACCACCAUUUGACUCAGUUAUCCCACUCCUCAGUAUAUACCCAAAGGAUUAAAAUCAGCAUACUGUAGUGACUCAGCCACAUCAAUAUUCAUAGCAGGGCAAUUCACAAUAGUUAAGCUAUGGAACCAACCUUGGUGCUUUCAGCAAAUGACUGGAUAAUGAAAAUGGGGUACAUAUACACAAUGGAAUAUUACUCAGCCUUAAAGAAGAAUAAAAUUAUGGCAUUUGUUGGUAAAUGGAUGGAACUGGAGACUAUCAUGUAAAGUGAAGUAAGUAAAUCCCCCCCAAAACAAAGGCCCAAUGUUCUGUCUGAUCUGUGGAUGCUGACUCACAAUAGGUGGGGGCCAGAAGGGAGGAGUGGAGGUUCACCAAAUUGGACAGGGGUUGGGGUGGGGGGAGCGGGAGUCGGGGGGAAUGAGGAGAAUGGGAACAGGAAAGAUAGUAGAAUGGAUCAGACAUGAUUUUCUAUGUUCAUAUAUGAAUACAUGACCAGUGUAACUCCACAUCAUGUACAACCACAAAAAUGGGAAGUUACACUCCACGUACGUAUGAUAUGUCAAAACACAUUCUAAAGUCAUGUAUAAACUAAAAAGAACAAAUCAAAAAUUAAAAUAGAUGAUUUGGUUUCCUAUAGUAGCAUGAUCUCAGCUGCCCUGGAUAAAAAUUCUUCUGGAACCAUCUGUACACUCUAGGUUAAGGCAGAGCCACGUGCUCCUGAAAAGACACAUCUCCAGGGCUCCGGGCAGCACGCAGUCAGGUCACAAGUCACAUCUGCUUUGCGGGGUUUGUGUGUUUCUCCUAUGUUCUGCAGGACAGUGGUCAGGCAGGGACUCGCAGCCCCAUUCUAUGGGUGCAGACUGACUCAGGUUAGAUCACAAGUUCACGGUGGGUAAGGCUGAUGUCAUCCCCCUGCCCACGUAACACUGUCUCCUCUUUGUGACCUAACACGUCACUGUGACAUCAUCUCAGUGUCCUACGACAUCACCUCAGUGCCCUGCCCUCCGUGAUGGAAUCUUGACUUCUGCGAAGCUUUGAGGAAACCUUCUUUCCUCUACUUCUUUUUAUGACGCAUUAAAAUUUUCUGCCUCAGUUUCCCAAUCUAUUCAAAAGCAAAAAUAAUGAGGCUGAAGUACCUAUGUGUGGUUGGUUGAAAUAGUUUUGAUUCUUUUCUGAAUGGGGAUGAAUGCAAAUCACCUUGUUAUUUCACUAAUUAAUAACCUCUGCUUGGAAAUGCAACUAUUAGUGCACAAUAAACGAUAAGGCUUCUCAUCAUGGAUGACAGUAAUGGCUUCUUCUCUGCCCCUUACCUUCAUCCCCGUUCCUCUUCCUGAGCUAUAGCUAUCUCUGUGGGGGUGAGGAAAAGACAUUGCAAAGAAGCCAACAAUGGAUGCCUUUCCCAAGGGUUUGGAAAUGGAUGAAUCGUCCGGCUCCGUCUGCAGCCUUCAAGCUGUGUGGCUGACUCGCAGGCUCCUAGAAAUGCCAGCUGAGAGCAGAUCCUGUCACCUGCCCGGCCCGUGACCUGUUCCACUCCUCACCUGACCCCCUGUGCCCAACGUCACCUGGAGCCUGGAAUCUGGAAGCAGAGAGUCCUUGACUGGAGCCAGCGGAGAGAAAAUCAUCACCUGCUUGGGCACAAACAUGCCUGGUGACUGUGUCACUGUUUGUUAAGUGGGAUCAGCUAAUAGUUGCUCAGCGGCCCUUCAAAGAGCCUUCAAAGAGUUUCUGUAAACGCACUCCCCGUGCGAGGGCCUUGGACUUCAGAACCCAAGUGCGUUUGGAGCCUGAGAGCAGCCCUCCAUGCACCCUGGUUAAACUGCAGUGGAAAAGCAACAGCUUGCAUUUCCUUUGCCCUCCCUGGCUCUCUCUCCCCGGCCAGUCCCUGGCUUCCCACCUCUGCACCCUCUGCAUGGGCUGCUGCCCCUGCCUGGGGCACCCACCGCCCUGGGGGGCACCCACCGCCCUGGGGAGCAACUGCGGGCUUCCUCUGCCUUCACUUAGGGACCCGCUGCAACCCCCUCCAGAGACCUCAACGCUCCCUCCUCUCCCUGCCUCUCUUCCUCCACAGCCCCCUGGGACUAUCUGACCUACCUGUCCCCUUCCUCAGCUGUCCCCUUCCCCACCGGAACGUAAGUUCCCUGGGAAGAACUUGUUCCUCUGGAGAACGCCUUCUUGACUAAGUGAACCAACAAAUGAGUGGAGGAAUGAUUUUCCUUCAGCUUACAAAUGAAACCACUGAAGAACACAGAGGGACAGGAAGCUAGUCCAGGGCCACCGCCGUUUAGUGGCAGGGCCGGUAUUUGUGCUCUCCCUUCCUGACUCGCCUGACAUGGUUCUCCAGAAAUUCAGCAAUGGAGACAGCCCUGGGCCACUGUGGUCGCAUGUGUAUGCCAGGCUUUGGGCAGGGCAUGUCGACGUGGACGGCCAGAACUCCGUGAAGGGUAAGAGCUUAUUACCUGAGCGCUGAGCGGAUUUUUCUAAUGACUCCAGAGGUCCCAGAACAUCAGCUGUGCUACCACAUUUAAAAACCAUGUUUAAAUCUGAGUCAUUUUGAGCAUUACCGUACAAAUGUGAAUAAAGGAAAAUAAUUAUUAGAAUCCCUUACAGAACCCACUGCAGGCUUUGAGGUCUAUUGAUUCCAUUUAGUAACUGAAAGGAUGCACUGUGUAGUUUUCUAGCCUUUGUCCUUACAUAUUUUACUGUAGACAUGUCCUGAUCCACUAAAACCAACAGUUUCCGGGGCUGCUCCUAUUCCAACAUGAGUGUGUCACAAUUUGACUUCAUUGAUUUCCUAUUAUUGAUCCUGAGGACUGUUCCAGUCUCUAUUGAUUGAACUUCUAGCUUUUAGAUCUUUCAUAUUUCUGGGUUCCGUUAUUGUACUGACAUUUCCAUACUUUACCGAAACCAUGCAGAGAACAAAUUGUUGUCUAUGUUCUUACAGAAAAAAAAAGGCUGCAAAUGAGCUAAAAUCUCCUGGGAUUCAAGCGCAAACUCCUCUUGGGAUCAGGAACUGCUGCCGCUCUCCCUCAUUUGCAUUUGUGGUCUUUGAAGGGGUGGGAGGUGGGAGCCUGGGGGUGGGCAGGAAGCAUGGGCCAAGGAGAGCAAAUAGAGGCUUUGGGAGUGUGUUUACAUUUCUGUUCUAUGUGUGUGCUUCUGGCCUUCAUAGCAAGGGGAUAAAAAGCCAGGACUCUGCUCUCGUGGCGCCUGCAGACCUCUGCACUUUAACAAUCCAGGCACAAGUUGUUCUAGGCUAGUCAGCAUGACUCAGCGGGGCAGCAGGAGCUCCCUGAGGUCAGGACCUGCUCCUCGCUCCCACUAUAGUGGGAAGGCCUGCAAAGCGCUCUCAGUCUAAGAAACAACCCUGUGUUCAGAGUGUGGCUGGAUCCCGUGGCAUUUUCCGGCCACACUUCUGGUUGGGGUGAUGGCCGCUGCAUCCUAGGGUGCUGGUACUGGUAAACCCCCUCUGGACUCUGCUGUAGACUUGCAGAAGUCAUCAUCACUUCCAUUGACUGGGCACCUCCUAGGUGUCAAUAUACAAAGCUGGGUGCUUUCAAUCCUCAAAAUAAGUCCCAGUAGGCUUCAUUUUCCAAAUAAAGGCACUAAAGUGCAGAGCGGUUGAGAGAGCUGCCCAGUCACACAGAGAUAGGAUUUAACAGUGGCAUAUUUGACUUCAAAGCCUAGGCAUUAUUGUACAUCUCCGAUUUUGUGAAAUAGAGAGGACCCUCCUUCUGCUUAAUAUCCAUAAUUGUCAAGACAGUUACCGUGGACCAUAUUGCAUUAGAAUUAAUCCUUCAUCAAAGAUUCCAUUUACCAGUUGUUUAAUAAGCACUUACUUUGUGCCAUGCUCUUACGAGUUUCCACUGAGAGUUGAAUAGACCACAUUCCCUGUCCUAAAAGGGAUGAGGCAAAGAAGCAAAGGGCAGAACUGAGAAAGAUUUAAGCCUCCAUUCUUAGGAAGUGGAUUAUUAUAUCUACCAUAGGGAUUGGCUCAUCAUCAAAACUCAAUAAAUACUGGCAAAAGGAAAAAAGGAAUGAAGGAUGGGUGAAAAUUACAAAGCACAUAAAAUCUAAUCUGAAGGCAUGAAAUCUAUCCUUAUGUUUACUUCUUACUUGCUGUGCAACCUUUGAGAUCUAUGUUUAGCCUCUCUGAACCUACCCCCUUAUUAUGCAAAAGUGGGCAUAAAUGUCUUUGCCUUCUUCCACUCAUAGGAUCAUUGUUAAUCCAGUGAAUUGAAAGACCAGCGGCAGUUAUCAGAGCUAUUAAAACUGUACUCCUCCACCAGGCCUGGUGGCAGCUACCUAGAGUCAGAGCUCCUGGUUAGACUGAGGCAGGAGGGUCACAAGUUUGAGGCCAGGCUGAGCAACUAAGUGAGACACUGUCUCAAAAUAAAAAUAAAAAGGGCCGGGGUCGUAGCUCAGCUCUAGAGCCCUGGGCUGACAUUGAGCCCAGUGCUACAAAGACAAACAAAAAGUACCCAUCAGUUCUCAGAGUGUCAAGGACGAUGACAGCUGUGGGUUCCUUCCACCUGCACCUUUGCUGUGGACUACACACCAGGUGGACGAGCACUUUGCAAGGGCUGGACAUUUGUGCCUUCGUCACCAACCCCUGAUCGACGUGCCCAUUUUGUGGAUGGGGAGAGUGGCUUGGGCAGUGUGGACAGCGUGCUGGACAUGGUACAGUGCUGGGCAGGGGGAGGAGUCAGAGUCCCAGGGACCAAGGCUGGCGUCCCCACUCCUAUGGCUGCUCUGUCACUGUCCCCAGUCACUCCGCUGGAGACAUUUCUCUAGGGGCAGUAGGUAAACCCUGACUUGAUAGUCACCUUCUCACAUAGAAUCAGCCACGAAAUUCCUCAAAGAAAUAAACAUAGCUACUGAUCCAAAGGAAUUGAAACUGGCAUGUCAGAGAGACAUCCACACCCCACGUCCAUGGCAGUGCUAAUCACAGUAGCCAAAACACAGAAACAGCCCAAGUGUCCAUCAGUGGAUGAGUGGAUAAAGAAAAUGAGGUGUAUUUACCCAGCGGAAUACUAUUCAGCCAUAAAAAAUGAAAUAUUGUCCUUUGUGACAAUGAGGAUGGAAUUGGAAGGCAUUACAUUAAAUCAAACCUGCCAGGCACGGAGAGACAAAUACCACAUGACCCUUCUUCUACGAAGAAUAUCAGAGAGUCAGACUUACAGAGGAAGAUUGUGGUUCCAGGAGGCUAGAGAGACUUUGGCUAAAUAAUAGAAAAUUUCAGUGAAAUAAAUGAAAUUAUUCAAGAGCUGUAAUGUAAAACAUGAUCAUCAUCAUUAAUAAAAAUUUAUUGUUUUCUUGAAAACUGCUAAGAGAUUCUAAAUGCCCUUACCACAAAAAUAGCUGUGAGGCAAUGCAUAUGUUAAUUAACUGAAAUCAUGUAUCCG